UUUUAGUUUCCUUCUCAGACGAACACACACAUAUUGCUAGACUCGCUCUCUUUGUCGUCUCUCUCUCGAGCUCUCCGUCUCUCUCUCUAUCUCUCUGGACCCUCUCUCUCUCGAGGUGAUUAGAGCUUCAGAUUGUUGCUUCAACUCUUCUUCUUCGAUUAAUUGGUUAUGAAAUAUGUGCCUUAAUGGAAUAAUGGAUGCUCAUCUCCGCUACUUUAAACAGAGAGACUGAAUCCAGACCACUGGAGGCUUAGGGUGAGACGAUGGCAUGAUGGAGAGGAUGGAGCUGGAACUGUUACUCUUUAUUUUUUAAAUUUCAGUUAAUUGUGAUACUUUAACACUUGUUUUGCCGGUUGUGGAUACACCAUUGUGGGGUGUUUGGAUUUUGAAAUUGUUAAAUUUGGUUACGAGGAUUUUCUUGUUUAGCAACUAUAUGAAUCAUGUUUUAUAUUUAUUAUUAGCACGGUUG
Molecule: long non-coding RNA, 469 nt
Organism: Daucus carota subsp. sativus
Lineage: Eukaryota; Viridiplantae; Streptophyta; Magnoliopsida; Apiales; Apiaceae
Exons: 4
Source: RefSeq, a predicted model, not a curated record